RNAcentral lists this ribosomal RNA (317 nucleotides) under Megaphragma hansoni. RNAcentral's name for it is "partial large subunit ribosomal RNA". Lineage: Eukaryota; Metazoa; Arthropoda; Insecta; Hymenoptera; Trichogrammatidae. The record is from RNAcentral.
GGGCACGCGGUCGCUGCGUCAUGUCCGGCGCGGUCGGCGUGCACUUCUCCCCUAGUAGGACGUCGCGACCCGUUGGGUGUCGACCUACGGCCCGCGAGGUAGACUGGGGCGCCGCGCGUUAAUAGCGCGCGCGCGUCUCAGACCCGCGUGCGCCCGGCUCGACUGCCCGGCGGUAAAGAUCGCUUAUAAUCGAUAAUGGUAUGGGGUCGCACGCUCAUGUUAAAUUUGCGAUGCGUUUUUCGGCCCGUCGUUGAGGCUGGCCUCGCUCGGCGUUUACGGACCUGGUGCCGUUGCCGGGCGUUUAUGGUUGGCUCUCU